Molecule: long non-coding RNA, 38117 nt
Filed under: Solanum tuberosum (potato)
Lineage: Eukaryota; Viridiplantae; Streptophyta; Magnoliopsida; Solanales; Solanaceae
Description: long non-coding RNA (STUB_LNC009483)
Source: RNAcentral
AUUUUUUGAAAAAAAAAAACAAGUUAAGAAUAACAUUCUUGAUUACUUAAUUGAUGCAGCCAAGAAAUCCAGUAACAAAAAUGAAGUACAUGAAGCCGAAUAUGGCGGGUACCCUGGUGAUGGCGAUGGAUACCCUGGCGGCGGCCGUGGUGGUGUUGGUGGCGGAUACCCUGGCGGUGGCCAUGGUGGCGGUGGUGGUGGCCGUGGUGGUGGUGGAUACCCUGGCCAUGGUGGUGGUGGUGGAUACCCUGUCGGUGGUAGUAAAUACUCAGGCAACCGUGGUGGUGGCGGCCGGAAGUGUUGCUCCUAGAUACAAAGGUGAAUAAAUAGUAAUAUAUACUUAUAUCACCUUGUACUAAUUAGUGGCAAGAUGUAGUAGUAAUAUUCUUGCUGCUUUAAAUUUGGAGCUUAUUGUAAGAAUUAUUAUCAUGAAAUAAAAGCCAUCAUGUAAUGUUUGUUAAUUAUGCUAUGGUAUGAUAAUACUUUCCUUUGGUGUUUUACUUAUGGGCGGAAUUCUUAUUUCAUAUUAUUAUAAUUUGUUUCAAUUAACCGUUCACUAUUAUUAUCAAUAUCAAGUAUCAAUAUACAUCAAUAGUGUAAAUUUGCUUAUAUUUUUCUCUUCGAUUUCCGUGGAACUCAUCACACAUUUAUUAUGAAACAUACUUAUAAUGUCCAAAAACUAUGUAAAUUUAGAUUAGGCAAAAUUGAGGGCAUUUAUUAUUCUACGAUUUUCUCAAAUGUUUUGAAUUAUUGAUUAUUGUAGCUCUUUUUUGAAAAACUAAUUAUAGUAGUAUGACUUAUAAUACUUGGUAUUUGGGUCAAAAUAUGUGAUUUUAAAAAAAAAAAUUGGAAAAAUCAAUAUAUGUCUGAAUUCACAAAAAAAAUUCGAAAAUGAUAAUCGAAUUAUAAAAUGAAAUAGGCUUCAUUGUUGGAUUUUAUUAUAAGAAGCAUCACUGUGAAGACAAUCUAGCUACAAACUCUCAUUCCUUGAUAAAAUGAUUAAUUCUCAAACAUUACUAGAAAUUUGCACACCAUUUUUUUAAACCAUAUUUUGCUCCAUAUAUACCUCAUAUUUUGAUAGGAUCAACAAGCAAUAAAAGUAAUUUAUUUUGCUAUGCCAAUAUUUUAUUUAAUAAUAAUUUUAAUUGAGUGAUUUUAUUGAUAGAAAUGUCUAAGUUUAGUGAUUUUAUUGAUACAAAACAAAGUUCAAUGACUUUGUUAGAUAAAUUCUCAAAGUUGGGUGACCUUUUGAGAUAUUAACUCUAUAAUAUGACGACCCUUUCAGUAUAUUGCUUUAGUUAUUGCACUACCGAGAAAUCUAUGAUUUCUAUUCAUAAUUUUAUCAAAUCCGGAGUUAUUCGGACUCCAUUAUAAUAAAAUCAAACCACCGUAAAAUUAAAUACAUAUAGCAUAUACAUAUCAUUUGUAGCCUAAGUAUUUUUUUCAUCUAGUAAUUGUAAGGAGUGAUGCAACUUUGAUUUUACAUGUGUUCAAACUUUUGUAUUGCUCUUUGAUUUCCUUGGUGUCCACAUUGCUUAAUGUCUUAUUAGAACGGGAGCUGUUUAUCCAAUUUUAGACCUUGAGCUACAUGUCAACAAAGGUGGAGUAGAAGGACUUCUGACAUUUACAAAAGUGUUGUAAACCUUGUGAUUAAAGGUACUAUCAAAGGAAAGAAAUGUGUUUUGUAAUAGAAAGUGUCAACAAUGAGCUAACCUAUUGAAAGUUAUGUUGGAAGAGUUUCUUUGAUUUUUGCAGAUAGGAGUGAGCUCAUAGAAAUUUAUAAAUCAAUUCAAUCAUAGAACAAUAUUAAGUAACUAAUUUUACAAGAUCCAAUGAGAAGCAUAGGCUAUAAAGUGAACAUAAUUUUUUUUGUAGAACAUAAUUGUGUUACUUACCUUUCCAAAUUUUGUUCAUAAAUUUUUCCGUAUUCUAAUCAAACGCAUCUUAUAAAUGGACAGUAAUCAAAUGACCAUAUUUGAGAUCACUACAUCAAAAAUAAUCAUUAGCAAAAAUUAAUUUUUAAUUGCCGUUAAAUAUGUAUUUUUAGCGGCAAUUAGCACUCUUUGUAUAUGUCCCUAAAGUCUUUAACGACAUUGGUUCUAAUAGCACUUAACUAAUACCGGUAAAGACUUUAACACUCUUUAUUACUGUCAAUAUUUAUUGCCGCUAAAAGUUAUUUUUGUUGUAGUGGAUACACCCAGUGAAAUUCUUGAAUAUAUAAAGGAAGAAAGUCACUCCAUUCACUCGAGUAUAUAAAAGAAGGAAACUACUCGUAAUUUGAUAACCACAAAUUAAAAUUGAACUUCAUUUUUUGGGCACCUAGAUUUUGAUUCAAAUAUGUAAUAUAUUAUGCUCAAUAUUGUUCUAGUCCAGUUGAAAUCAAUAUUCAAAUUGAAUAAAUUUCAUAAUAUUAUGACGUAGAAAGUCAUAAUAAGCUUGUUUGGAUCAUGCCUUUCCUUGUUGCAUGCUAAAAUCACUAAAUGAUAUAAGACCUCUGACUUUCUUAAAUUAGUGUAUUGUUACAAAUUGGAGUAAUCCUCUCUUAGCAAUUUAGUUUAGGCCACAAGUUUUUGAGACUAAAAAAGACCUGAGAAAUCUUAUGUUUUUGCAAUCGACUUGGCAUUUCAAAAUCAUGUUAGGCAAAGCUUUGUAGUUUAAAGCAAUAUUUUUUAAAAAAAAUAAUAAUAACUUUAUCAAUGAGCUUCAAAAUGCUACAACAGAAAGGACAAUAUCUUUAUUAGCCUUUCUUAAUAUAGUUUAAUUAAUAUUAUUUAUUAUGUCUAAAUGUUAAUAUUUAUCUCAAAAAGUAUGAAUACAGAGCUCAAAUGUUAUGAAUGAAAAUAUGAUUUACUUGAUCUGUUUUCGCCUUCCCUUUCAAUCUUAUCUAAGCUUUGUAACUGAAGGCGUUAUUGUAUGAUCUACUUGUACGAUUUUUACGGCAUAAUAUCUCAUUUAAAACGUAAGAUUAAUGUGUCUACCAAUUCUAGAAAUGUUUAUAGAGAUUUAGGUACGAUAAUAAAAUGAUUAAGCUUCAUCUAUGAAACACGUGUUUUUCGUGAUAUAUCCCUAUUUCUUCUCAUUGAUCUAUUUUCUGUCCUAGCUUUAAGAAAAAAUGCUUUGCAAAAUGGAUGACCUAAUCUGAAAGUUUCCCAUUGAAACUUAAGCCACCAUAGGUAUGAUGUAUUCACAUCCUCUUUCCUUCUUUCUUUCUUAUCAUUUUAAUUGGGGAAAAUACAUAGAAUUCCCCCUGAACUUGGCACGAAAACUUACUUUAGUACUUAAACUACACGAAUGUUUCUUUACCCCCCCCCCCAAUUUAAUUUGAAUUGAAUUUAAUUACCCCUUAAAGAGUGACGUGGCAAAAUUUGUAUCACCAACUUUUCAUAAGCGGGUGAGAAAGGAAAAGACAUCAAAAACUGACACAUAUCAUCUUUUUAUUGGAUAACAUACUUAAUAAUUUAUUUUACUAAUUUUUAAAUAUUUUAUUUUUAAUUAACUUUUCUCUCUCUAUAUUUCUUUUUCUGCAUCUUCUUCUUCAUUUUUUUUUUCCAUUUUUGUUCUUUUUCUAGCAUCUUCUUCUUCUUCUUUUUUUCUCUUCUCAUAACUCUUUCUCUUUUUUAUUCUUUUCAUUUAGUUCAAAUAAACAUUUACUUCCAAAUAUAACUUCUUCCACAUUUUUUCUUCUUCUUUUCUUUUCUAUUUUUAAUCGUUUCUUUCUUCUUCUUUUUUACAAAAUUUUUGGUGUUUGAUUCACCCACCAUUUUUUACAUCAAAGAAGAUUAUUAGAUCUAUCAGUUUAAAUCGUCUUCAGAAUGAAGUUGACUUCCAUUAAAAAAAAAUCGAAGAUAUUGUUGGCAAAAUAUUAACUAUGGAGAUUUCCCCCAAUUCAUUAAUAAUUUUUCAUUUUUAUGCAAAUAUUUUUUUAAAUUUUUGAGGAAGGUGGUAUCGUAUAACUAAACUGAAAAUACAAUUGAAAUUUGAAUUAUAGUUUGUAUAUUGAGGAGUAAAUUCAUUGAUGGGUUUAAUUUUUGGCUCAAUAUUUUUAAAAAACAAUUAUUAUGGAGAUUUAAGCAAUUAAUUAGGAAUUUUGCUAAUGUACACGUGGACGAAUGAAAAACGCGUGUGACUCAACAACACUCAGCCUUCAACUAGGCUGGUGCUGGGAAGUUUGAAAAAAAUCACUUAAAAGAUGUUAAGGGGGUAUAUAAACAUCCGUGUAGUUUAAGUACUAAAGUAAAUUUUCGGACCAAGUUCAGGUGGGUUUUUAUGUAUUUUCCCUUUUAAUUGGCUUUCUUCCACCUAAUUCUUUCAACCAUUCAAAUUUAAUAGUAUUUGUUUUUGUUGUCUUCACACCUUCUUUUCCGAGAUUUAGUUUUACAAACAUAGUAUUUAUUAAUUUAAAUGCAUAAGGUGCAUUAAAUGCCUCAAAUUAGUUGAUAACGAACACAAAAUACAUGAAAAAGACAUAAUACAUGUAGAAAUCAAGAAUAUUUGCUAACAAACAUGUCAAAACUCUAGCACACAUAUUAUACACAUUCACCCCAAUUUCCAACACUCAAUAACAACUAUAAGCAUAAAAAAUUCAUUUGCCAAAACUUUUACAAACACAUAUUAUAUGCCUCAAAAGAGAAGUAGGUUAAGAACAACGUAAGUAGAUAGAAAAAUUCUCCUGAAAACAGAGCGAUAUUCAGCGAGGGAAGAAGAAAGCACUUGUGAAAAUUAAGGAGUAAAUAUCUCAAAGCUCAGUCGAAUUAUGUUGUAAAGUCAUUCAACUUUAUUUUGUAUCAAUGAAAUCAUUGAACUCUUUUAUAAAAUUAGUUGAUCAAAUUUACCAUAAAAAACAUUUUAACAUGAUAAAAUAAAUUAAUUGCUCUCCCACAUAUCUCAAUCUUUUAUAUGUUAUUCUUCUUUUCUGCAAUAAUUACAAAAAAAUUACUCUCCAUUUCAAAAAAUUACAAUCAUGGAUCAAUGAAUUAAGUGUAAGAUAUGAAUUUUUUUUUAAAUUAUUGGUGAAAUUAUUUUUAAAUAUAAUACGAACAAUAUAAUAUGGGAAGAGGAGAAAGUGGAUACCUCAUCACGUUCAGUUUUCAUACGUUCCCUCGAAUGGGUUCGAUUCGCUUCACAAAUUUACUAAAAAGUUCAAAAUUCAUGCCAAUUGUUUUUAACUUGUUCAUGACUUUUAAAUAUUUUAAGAAGUUUCUCGUAAAUAUAUUUUAAAAAAUAAUGAUUUUAUCUUGUAGAAUAAUUUUUAUGGUAAGUUUGAUCGAGUUAUUUUAUAAAAGAAAUAUUCAAAGUUGAGUGAUUUUAUUGAUAUAAAACAAAGUUGAAUAAUUUUACAAUAUAAUUUCUCAAAGUUGAAUGACCUUUUGAGAUAUUUACUCGAAAAUUAAGAGAAAUUUAACGCUUUUGGAAUUAUGAUACUGUAAGGGAAAAAUGGAUCAUUCCAUAGAUAAUAUAAAAAGCAUCUAUGUGUUACACAUAAUACAUGUGUCUUUGUGAUAUGAGUGAGGUAAGCUUAAGAAAAUUACAGAUUUGUCCUUGUUGGUCCUUCCCAACUCCCUACAUAGUACACAUGUCUUUGUGAAAUGAGUGGGGAGUAGUACUUGUUUAAUGAAAUGGCCCCCAAUACAGUACAACUUGUAUUACCUUUGGUACAUCUAUUUGAUGCUAUGUUAGUCCCACUAACUAUAGUACAUGUGUCUUUGUGAUAUGAGUGGGGUAAGCUUAAGAAAAUUACAGAUUUGUCCUUGUUGUUCCUUCCCAACUCCCUACAUAGUACAUGUGUCUUUGUGAAAUGAGUGGGGAGUAGUACUUGUUUAAUGAAGUGGGCUGGUACAACUUAUAUUACCUUUGGUUCAUCUAUUUGAUGUUGUGUUAGUCUCAUCAACUCCCACUUAUAUAUAGGAGUAAUAUUGAAUUUCAAAAUUUUAAUUAUAUCACAUGACACAAAUUUCGGCAGACGAACUAUAACACUGAUAUGCUUCAUCUUUCCGAUGCCCAAAUGGCAAUCACUAUUAAAAAAAAACUCAACGGAUGUUAGUAAUACAAGUAUUUCAAACAUACCAAUAAGUAGUAUUUAUUUGGUAUUAAACAAAAAUAUUUCCUCCGUUUUAAUUUAUUUAUUUGGUUUUGACGUAUGCAGAUUUUAAAAAAAACCAAAGAGAAUUUUUGAAUCUUAUGGUUUAGAAUUUUUGAAUCUUCCGGUAUUAAACAUACCAAUAAGUAGUUGCCGAAGAAGGAAAGUGUCAUUUUUUUUUAGGCCUAAAAAAAGUAAGACAAAUAAAUCGGAAAUAAUAUUUUUUGAAAAAAAAAAACAAGUUAAGAAUAACAUUCUUGAUUACUUAAUUGAUGCAGCCAAGAAAUCCAGUAACAAAAAUGAAGUACAUGAAGCCGAAUAUGGCGGGUACCCUGGUGAUGGCGAUGGAUACCCUGGCGGCGGCCGUGGUGGUGUUGGUGGCGGAUACCCUGGCGGUGGCCAUGGUGGCGGUGGUGGUGGCCGUGGUGGUGGUGGAUACCCUGGCCAUGGUGGUGGUGGUGGAUACCCUGUCGGUGGUAGUAAAUACUCAGGCAACCGUGGUGGUGGCGGCCGGAAGUGUUGCUCCUAGAUACAAAGGUGAAUAAAUAGUAAUAUAUACUUAUAUCACCUUGUACUAAUUAGUGGCAAGAUGUAGUAGUAAUAUUCUUGCUGCUUUAAAUUUGGAGCUUAUUGUAAGAAUUAUUAUCAUGAAAUAAAAGCCAUCAUGUAAUGUUUGUUAAUUAUGCUAUGGUAUGAUAAUACUUUCCUUUGGUGUUUUACUUAUGGGCGGAAUUCUUAUUUCAUAUUAUUAUAAUUUGUUUCAAUUAACCGUUCACUAUUAUUAUCAAUAUCAAGUAUCAAUAUACAUCAAUAGUGUAAAUUUGCUUAUAUUUUUCUCUUCGAUUUCCGUGGAACUCAUCACACAUUUAUUAUGAAACAUACUUAUAAUGUCCAAAAACUAUGUAAAUUUAGAUUAGGCAAAAUUGAGGGCAUUUAUUAUUCUACGAUUUUCUCAAAUGUUUUGAAUUAUUGAUUAUUGUAGCUCUUUUUUGAAAAACUAAUUAUAGUAGUAUGACUUAUAAUACUUGGUAUUUGGGUCAAAAUAUGUGAUUUUAAAAAAAAAAAUUGGAAAAAUCAAUAUAUGUCUGAAUUCACAAAAAAAAUUCGAAAAUGAUAAUCGAAUUAUAAAAUGAAAUAGGCUUCAUUGUUGGAUUUUAUUAUAAGAAGCAUCACUGUGAAGACAAUCUAGCUACAAACUCUCAUUCCUUGAUAAAAUGAUUAAUUCUCAAACAUUACUAGAAAUUUGCACACCAUUUUUUUAAACCAUAUUUUGCUCCAUAUAUACCUCAUAGUUUGAUAGGAUCAACAAGCAAUGAGAUGAGUCUGUCCAUAAAUCCACAAUUAGUACUUAUAAAAUCAUUCUUUUCGAAAGAAAGUGUCAAGUGUGUUGGAUUUAUAGCUUGUUCUACAGCAAACAUUGGUACUUGAGUAGGAUAGAGCAAUUCCGUGUUUAUAUCUUUCCAUGCAUUACUCAUUAUCUUCUGAACCUCGAUAUAUGUCUCUUGCUUUGAAACUACACGUUCUUUCAUAUAACAUUCAAGGAAUGAUGGUAUAUGUGUUCUUUGUUGUUCAAACUGCAUCAAAUAGAUUUUAAUAUGCUCAAUACAAUAAUAUAUUUAAUUUUUAUCAAAUUCAUUUAUUAUCUUACAUGAUGUCCAAUAAUGUCGUCCUUUAAUAGACUUAAUACUGAUGAAGCUUGAAGAACCGAAGAAUCACUUGUUACCCAUUCCAAAGUUUCUUUGGUUAUAAUAAAUUCCUCCAAACAUACCAAGGAAAUUGUUGCAAUCAAUUUGAUGGCAAUGCUUGUAAUUGCAUUUUCCAUAUACUCCUCACAUUUUGGAAAAUAGCAAGCAUUCAACCAUUGUGCUUCCUUGAAAUAUUAUUUCAUCCAUUUUUUCAUCUAUAAAGAAACAAUAUAAAAAGUAAAAUUAGAUAAUAAGCAUACUUUAUCUAGUUUUGGAUUGUAAUUUUGUCACGCUCCGAGCCUACAUCCUGGGCGGGACUGGCACUCGAAGACCAUUGCUGGCCACAAGUGAACCCUUGGUCUGGCUUACUUACUCAGUGGAAGACAAUAUUCAUACUUAAUGAUCAAUAACACUUAACUGAACUAAAUCAUAGGAUAACUGAGAAUGUUAAAAGCUAAACAUUCAACUUGGCCAAAAGUGGCAACCCAAGUCUUAACAAUAAGAAAUGAUAUUGAAAAAACUCAAAGGACUAACAUAUGACUGUCUAUGAAGCCUCUAAUGACCAAUGAGAUGGAUGUUGGGACAGACCCCACAACAUCCUAAUUAACUAAACUAGAAAGCAAUGAAAUGGAUGCUCCGGAAAGCAAGGAGGCUUACCAACAGACUCUGGACUGCUCACUGGAUCAACGAUGCACCGGAAUGUCGAUCCUAGUUACAUGUGUCUGCAUCAUAAUACGAUGCAGGCCAACUGACAUCAGUACAUUGAAUGUACGAGUAUGCGAGUUGGAAUGCUAAAAUAACAUAGGCAUGAAAGAAUUUGAGAGAAACUGAAGAACUUACCUAGCUCAACUCAACUCAACAUGACAGAAUUCAUUUCAAUAUAAAGCAGUUCAAAAGCAAGUGCAAUAUAAAGAAAAGUUGUUUAAAAACAUGAUAUCAACUCUGUGUGUAUACAAGAUACAAAUAACUCUGAAAUGUAUUUAAAAAUACAAUGAACUGAUGUAUAUAAAAAUACAAGAACUUAUGUGGGAGUUUCUCUAACCGACAACCAUCACUUAAGAGCUAUAGUGAUGAUACAACGAUCUNNNNNNNNNNNNNNNNNNNNNNNNNNNNNNNNNNNNNNNNNNNNNNNNNNNNNNNNNNNNNNNNNNNNNNNNNNNNNNNNNNNNNNNNNNNNNNNNNNNNNNNNNNNNNNNNNNNNNNNNNNNNNNNNNNNNNNNNNNNNNNNNNNNNNNNNNNNNNNNNNNNNNNNNNNNNNNNNNNNNNNNNNNNNNNNNNNNNNNNNNNNNNNNNNNNNNNNNNNNNNNNNNNNNNNNNNNNNNNNNNNNNNNNNNNNNNNNNNNNNNNNNNNNNNNNNNNNNNNNNNNNNNNNNNNNNNNNNNNNNNNNNNNNNNNNNNNNNNNNNNNNNNNNNNNNNNNNNNNNNNNNNNNNNNNNNNNNNNNNNNNNNNNNNNNNNNNNNNNNNNNNNNNNNNNNNNNNNNNNNNNNNNNNNNNNNNNNNNNNNNNNNNNNNNNNNNNNNNNNNNNNNNNNNNNNNNNNNNNNNNNNNNNNNNNNNNNNNNNNNNNNNNNNNNNNNNNNNNNNNNNNNNNNNNNNNNNNNNNNNAAAUCCUAGAUUCCCCUUUUACUGAUUUAAACGUAGAUGUAGGGCGUGAGUAUAAACUAGUCCAACACUAUGAUAGCCUUACAUACUUGAAUAAAACAAGGUUCUUGAAGAAUCUUGAAGAAGAACUUGAUUAGAAGCCUUGAAACCCUAGCUUGAAGGUAAACAAUCAAGAAGACCUUUCUUGAGAUUCUCGAGUUAGUUUCUUAAAAUCUCUAUAGCCAAAAAUUAUGAUUUUCAUGAGUGAAGAUGAAAAUCUGAUUGUUUUGAGCUUUUUAUUAGUUCAAGAAAUUCGUUGAUGGUUUUCUUGGAGGUAAAAAGACAAAAACGAUUAUUUUCAAUAUUUUCCCGUCGGCUAAUUCGUAACAGCACUGUAUAGGUUACUAAAAUAGUCAUAACUUUUUACUCAGAUAUUGGAUUGACAUGAAACUAGUGGGGUUAGAAAGUAGAUUCAAUUACCUUUAAUUGGAUAGGUUAUGACUCACGUAACUCUUAAUAUUCUAAGAGAUACGGUCGUUUAAAGUUGACCUAAGCAAAAUUUUACUUCAAAACUUAAUGAAACUUCAAGAACACUUAUCAAGAACUCAUCAAGAACUCUAAUCUUUAAAUUUCAUGAACGAAAUUACGCUAAAUAAAUCAUGAUUGGUGUGUGGGUGAAAGAACCCAACACUAUGGAAGCUUACAUACCUUAAUGGAUUGAAUCCUCGGCGAAAUUCCCAAGCAAUUCCUUACGACGACGAAGAAUCUAGCUUUUUCCUCCUUUUCUCUUUUCUUGCGUUCCUCCUCCAAAACCCUAGCUCUAUUUGGUAAAUGUCUAAAUUGAUCUAAUUCAGUUUAGACCCCUUAUUAAUUACCAAAAACGAUUUAAAAUAAGGGUAAGGAAAAGACCAAACUACCCUUUAAAAUCCGGAUUGGACAUUUCCUUAAUCCAACAGCCCAAUUUCCAAAGGGCAUAUCUUACUCCUACGAAAUCGGAAUCGCGCAAACUUGGCGGCGUUGGAAAGAUAGUUCCAAGAACUUUCCAACCAUAUCUAUAAUUACUCCUAACUCAUCCUGAGCUAGGAGUUAUGAUCAUUUGAAAAUGACAAAAACUCAACUUUUCUUGCUUACAAUUUUCCAGAUUUCCCUUGAACGUUCCAAAAACGAAAAUUUCCAGAUUUAAACUACAUUCUAAUUAUUUCUAGAUGCGGGAUGUUACAGAUUUCACUAAUUAUCACAUGACUUUUGUUUUAUCGUGUACCAAAUUCACUAAAUUAUUUUUCCAUGGUAAUUAUAUUUUCUUCAUACGUUCACACCGACAAGUAAAAGUGAAAAUGUAUUUUUGAAACACUGGACAAAUAAAAAUGAAUAGAGUGAGAGUAAUUAUUUUACAUAGAUUAAUUAAUGAGGAUGAGUUAUCAAGCAAGCUUAAUUACCUCAACUUUUGCAUAGUAGGCCCGGUCUGCUUUACCUUCUUUUUUCAAUUCAUCUUCUAUUUCAUUUAUAAUUUGCUAUUUCAUACAAUUUUUCCUAAUAAUAUACCACAGAAUUUAACAUGGGCCGGGUUCAAACUCUUAUUAUAAUAAUGUUUUUUUAAUGCGUCAUAAUUCAAUAUCAACAUUAAUUUAGGAGAUUUAUGAAAUUAUUUUAUCGCGGAAUUGAAUCCACUAUGACCAUAGUUUGUAUUAUCGAUCAUAGAAAUUAUCACAAAACAAAUUAAUCCUUUGAUUUCUCCAUACACUCAUAUUGUGUGUAUAUUUACUUUUAUAUGUAUACCAUAAAUAUAAAUAAGAGGACGCUAGUUAAUAUAUGCUAACGAGCUAAUUAACAGUAGUACUCUUAUGAAUAAAUCCGACUCAAUAAUAAUUUUCGAGUUUAGUGGUUGGUUGGUUGGUGAGCAUAAUUAAUUAAUACAUUUUUUUGUGAUAAGCAGAACUAACAAACAAGACGUUUUGUCAACACAAUUGGUAAGUGUCUGUUUGACAUUUUCCACAAGCAUUUAUUCGUCGGCAUUAAUAAAACUGUAUGUAUGUGGCUAUUAGAGCCUGUUAUCUUUUCAUAUAUAUAUAUAUAUAUACUAGAUAAUGUUGCCCGUGCUAUGCACGGGACCAAUAAUAUAAAUGGUGUGUUUUGGGGCUAAUAAUCGAGUUUUUGAAGCAAUUGUUUGCGUGGAUAAAGGAAUAAAUUUUUUUAUCACAAACCUGUACUUUCUUUGACGCUAUUUAAGGCAUAAUAAGACAACCCACAUACAACAUUUUUGAAAUAUUUUAUGUUGUCAAUUAUCAUGAUUUAUAGUAUUUUUACGAUAGAUUCACUUCAAGAAUCAGUGGAAUUUUUUGUAUUUUUUUUCAAAACAUAUUUUAUAUUGUCAAUUAUCAUGAUUUAUAGUAUUUUUACGAUAGAUUCACUUCAAGAAUCAGUGGAAUUUUUUGUAUUUUUUUUCAAAACAUAUUUUAUAUUGUCAAUUAUCAUGAUUUAUAGUAUUUUUACGAUAGAUUCACUUCAAGAAUCAGUGGAAUUUUUUGUAUUUUUUUUCAAAACAUAUUUUAUAUUGUCAAUUAUCAUGAUUUAUAGUAUUUUUACGAUAGAUUCACUUCAAGAAUCAGUGGAAUUUUUUGUAUUUUUUUUCAAAACAUAUUUUAUAUUGUCAAUUAUCAUGAUUUAUAGUAUUUUUACGAUAGAUUCACUUCAAGAAUCAGUGGAAUUUUUUGUAUUUUUUUUCAAAACAUAUUUUAUAUUGUCAAUUAUCAUGAUUUAUAGUAUUUUUACGCAAUUUUUAAAUAUAAAAAAAAAUAAGACAAAUAAAUUAAAAUGGACCCAAUAUAUGUUAUUUUUGUUGUGAAAUUUGGAGAGUCGUCCAAAUUUUCAUAUAUUUUUUAAAAAUGUUUUAAGUUAUUAAUUAUUGUGAUUUAUAAUAUUUUUAUGUAACUUUUAAAUAACGUACAUUACUGGUCACUUUGUCCUAAUUUAUGUGAUAUGGAUAAAAUUACAAAAUUAACCCUUUUAAAAUGUCUUUCAGAUAUUUUAAGUUGUUAAUUAUUAUUAUUUAUAAUACUUUUUUGGUAAUUUUAAAAUGAUAUGUGUUAUUUUUUCUGUCCCAAUAUAUGUGAGCCUGAUAGAAUUCUGAGAGUCAACGUAUUUUAUUAUAUAGCUUUUUAAAAUAUUUUAAAAUUGGUAAUUAUUGUAAUUUUUAAUGCUUUUUAAGUCAUUUGUAAAUGAUAUAUGUGCCAGAUCAGUCGAUUUUUUUAUAUGUUUUCUUAAAAAUAUAUUUGAAGUUAUUAAAUUGUUGUGAUUUAUAGUAUUUUUGCGUUAGUUUUGAAUAAUAUAGGUUACUCAUAUUUCAAUUCACGUGAAUAAUAAUAAAUAUUUUCAGUUGUUAAUUUAUUGUGAAUUCUAGAAAUUUUGACGUUAUUUUCAAAUAGUACAUGUUACUUAUUCUAUUCCAAUUAGUCAACCAAAUUCCAUAUAUGAUUUAAAAAUAUUUUUAAUUGCUAAUUAUUGUGAUUUAUAGCAUCUUUUAUGUAACUUUUAAUAAUAUAUAAUUUGUUCAAAUUCAUAUGACAAUGAUAAGAUUUCAAGAGUCAACGCAAUAAAAAUUUAAAUUUUUUAAAAAGUUGUACCUCUAAUAUAUUUUGUAGCUAAAAUAUACUCUCUCCGUCCACUUGUAUUUGUCAUGUUGCGCUUUUUGAAAGUCCAUUUGACUAAUUUUCAAAGUUAAAUCAGAUUGUAUUAAUGUAUUUUUAGAAAAAAAUUUAAAUAUGCAAAAUCUAUACAAAAAGUACUAUAAAUCGUAAUUUUUUGCCUAUGAUUAUGAUGAAAAAACACAUUGUAAAAUAUUAGUUAAAAUUCUUAUAGUUUGACUCUAAAAAGGAAAUCAUAACAAUUAAAAGUGCAUAGAGAGAGUAAUAAAUAGGUAAUUAAAUUUCAAGAAGUUUAAAAUAAAAGGUUGAAAAAAAGAAUUAGAUAGACAACAUUUAUUGAAAAUUGAAAACAUAUAAAUAAUAAAUGGGCCCAAAUGAGGUCAAACUUUUUGGCUUAAAUUGUCCAAUAAUAUAAAUUUUAAAGGUACAACCAUAAAAGAAGAAUGUACAACACUAGCAAGCACAUAUCAUCCAACAUUUGUCAUGUGCUAAGUAGUAGUUAUCCCCACUUAUUAUAUAUAAUAAUAUAUAUACAUAAUUUUAUGUUAAAAAUAUGUUUGAUACGAUAAAAAAAUAUUAUUUCAAAAAUAUUUAUAAUAUAAUCAGACAAACACUCUGAGGUUGGAAGAGGGAUGGAUGAAGGCGAGGGGGAUGGGGGGGGGGGGUGUUGAGAGCCUGUCGGAGCAUGGGUUUCGAGAGGAGGUGUGGUGCAUGGUAGGAUAGGGACGUAGAGACGAGGGUGAACUAGAGAGACAAUCAAGUUAGAAUAACACUAAUGUAAAAUUUAUUUUUUCCAUCAUGUAUACCAUUUUUAGAGAAUACAAGUCACUUACUUUUUUUUAAUAAAAUAUUUUUAGAAAAUUUUGACAAUGAAGAAACACAAAAGAGUCACAUGACUAUGUUUAUUUCAAUGCAAUAUAUUAUAUUCAUUUUUGUAUGAUAUAAAUCCAAUAAAACAUCAACAUUUAAUAUACCAUUUCCCCACAAGAGCCGUCGACUACUUUGCUAACAAAAAGAUUUUGGUGAUCUUAUAAUGUGUCCAAAAUGGAUAAUGAACCCACAUAAAUUCGUAUAGGGGUGUGCAAAAAUCGAUUUAACCAAUAAACUGAACCAAAAAAAACACUAUUGGUUUAUUGAUAUUGGGUUAUUGGGCUAACGGUUUUUAAACGGUUUUGCAAAAAAUUUUAUUGGGUUAUUGGUUCGGUUUCCGGUUUGAUAAUUUUUGUUAAUGGUUAAACCGAUAACCCAAUAAGACUAUACUAAAUUUAUUAGUCUUAUUGUUAAUGGUUAAACGAUUGUUACUUUCACACUUUUUCCUUUGAAUGUGUCUAGUGUCUAAACUUGCAAGAAAAAUGAUUGUUACUUUUAUGAUUAUUACUUUCAUGCCAAAUGCUGGAAAAAUCAUAUGGUUUAUUUGAAAAUUUUCUUAUCGUGUAUAUAAUAUAUAUGAGUAUUUUCUUAUUGGUUAAACCGAAAACCGAACCGUUAAGUACCAUAAACCGAUUAACCAAAAACCGAUAAGAAAUAUGUUAUUGGUUUGGUUAUCAGUUUGAAGUAUUUACAAACCGAAAACCGAUAAACCGAACCAAUAACACCUAAAACCGAACCGAACCGAACCGACCGAUGCUUGGUUAUCGGUUUGAAGUAUUUACAAACCGAAAACCGAUAAAUCGAACCAAUAACACCUAAACCGAACCGAACUGAUCGAUGCGCACCACUAAAUACGUACGGUUGAGAAAUAUAAUGUUUUGUAGUUUUGAAGGUCUGAUUGGAUUUAAUCAUUGAAAUUUAUUGAGAUUUUGAUAUUAAUAGGUUGAACGUCAAAUUUAAUUUCGUGUUCAUCUAUCAGAAACUUUCGGAUAAUAUAUUCUAAAAUUAAAACAUAAUUUAUAUUAAAAUCACAAUAAUCUGUCCGAUAAAUUUGUAGCGAGACAAGUCUUUAUCUAUCGAUCCAAAUUUAAAGAUAUCAAAUUAGACUUUUUAUGUAGAUAAAUAUGUAUCAGUUUGUUACAUGUACGUUUAACUUAAAUAUAAUGCAACAAAUUAUAUAUAGUACUUGUCAUGUGUAUGAACUCAAAUGUGAAAUCUUCACUAAAUUUCUUCAGCUGCCGACUGAAUAUUGGUCCACACAUUAAUUCCAUAAAUGCAUGUUCCCGCUCUAGGGGCGGAUCUAGAGUAUCGAGCGUGAAUUUUCAGAAACGUAAUAAUUUUUACAUAAAUCUUCUAUUUAUAUUAAAAAAUCUAUUAAUUAUAUAUAAAAUAUUUGUUGAAAAUCUAAUAACAAAAUAAGUUCUUAGUUCAAUGGUAGAAACGAAACCUACUUAAGUUUUCAGUGAGGGUUUAAUACUUUAAUUCCUCUUGGGUACUUAUAUUAAAGUCCUCUUUUAAAAUAAAAAAUAAAAAAUUGAGAUCGUUAAAAGCCCAUAAACUUUAAAUUCUGAAUUUGCUUCUGUCCGCUACAUCCAAAUAAUACUCUCUUCAAUCAUUUUAUCCAUUCAAAUCUUUCUAUAAAUAGAACCCAACAAUCUCUCAAUUUCAUCAUCCUUUAAUUAAUUCAAAUAUCAUAAGGGAAACAAAAAAAUGGGUUCCAAGGCAUUUCUGAUUCUUGGCCUUUUUUUGGCCAUAUUUGUAAUGAUAAGUUCUGAGGUUUUAGCUAGGGAGUUGGCUGAGACUUCCACCACUACUUCUGAAGAGGAUUGUAAGUCUAUCCAUUCAGUAUAAUAUAUUUUUAUAAUUUAUUUCGAAAAUAUUGAGUUCAGAUGAAUAUUUCUACUUGUGCUCUAGAUGCUAGCUUGACCAAUUAUUCUUACUAAUUGUUCAAUUUAUAUAAUUAGUUUUACAUUUUGCAUGUAUAUUACGAUAACAAUAAUAACAUAUUCAGUGUAAUGUCAUAAAGGAUAUGGGAAGGUGGUAUGUACACAACUAUACUCUUAUCAUGUGAAGAUAGAAAAGUUGUUUAAUUCGAUCCAUUCUCGACUCAAGUAAAACAUAAGGUAGUCCAUGCUGAACCUAAUGAAAUUUUGCAUAUAUAUUACUAUAUAGUAUAUUUUAACCUUCUGAACUUUGACGAGAAAUCUCCAUAUAAGUUAUGGAUUACAGAACUUUAUAAUGCAGAGUUGGUAUUAAACAAAAAUGUUCCCUCCGUUUUAAUUUAUUUGUUUGGUUUUGACGUAUGCAGAUUUUAAAAAAAAGUAACGAGAAUUUUUGAAUCUUAUGAUUUAGAAUUUUUGAAUCUUCUGAUAUUAAACAUACCACGUGGAAAAGCUAAAAUAAGGAGUUGCCAAAGAAGGAAAGUCUCAUUUUUUUUUAGGCAUAAAAAAUAGUAAGAAAAAUAAAUCGGAAAUAAUAUUUUUUGAAAAAAAAAAACCAAGUUAAGAAUAACAUUCUUGUUUACGUAAUUGAUGCAGCCAAGAAAUCCAGUAACAAAAAUGAAGUACAUGAAGCCGAAUAUGGCGGGUACCCUGGUGGUGGCGGUGGCGGUGGAUACCCUGGCGGCGGCCGUGGUGGUGGUGGUGGUGGAUACCCUGGCGGUGGUGGUGGCAGCCGUGGUGGUGGUGGUUGUGGAUCCCCUGGCGGUGGCCAUGGUGGUGGUGGUGGCGGCCGUGGUGGUGGUGGAUACCCUGGCGGUGGUGGUGGCGGUGGUGGAGGCCAUGGUGGUGGUAGAUACUCAGGCGGUGGUGGACGUGGUGGUGGCGGCGGCCACGGUGGACGUGGUGGUGGCGGCAGGAAGUGUUGUUCCUAGAUACAAAGGUGAAUGAAUAGUAAUAUAUAAGUAUCACCUUGUACUAAUUAGUGGCAAGAUGUAGUAGUAAUAUUCUUGCUGCUUUAAAUUUGGAGCUUAUUGUAAGAAUUAUUAUCAAGAAAUAAAAGCCAUCAUGUAAUGUUUGUUAAUUAUGCUAUGGUAUGAUAAUACUUUCCUUUGGCUGGGUUUGAGAGAGAGAGCGUGAGAUAGUUGGUCUAAUAACUAGUCCAACUUCCUUGUAUCUGAAAGCGAUGACAGGAUGUUAGGUCUAGUAAGGAGACUUUUUGGAUAAUUUACUUCCACGAAUAGAUUGUUAGGCUAAGAAGAAUAGGUUGGGAUUGAUCCCACCUUUGAAAGAGUGGUUUUGCUCUGUCAAUACGGUGUUUUACUUUUGGGCGGAAUUCUCACUUUAUAUAAUUAUUUAAAUUUAUAAUUUCAUAUUAUUAUAAUUUGUUCGACUAACCGUUCACUAUUAUUAUCAAUAUCAAGUAUCAAUAUACACCAAUAGUGUAAAUUUGCUUAUAUUUUUCUCUUCGAUUUCCAUGGAACUCAUCACAUUUAUUAUGAAACAUACGUAUAAUAUCCAAAACUAUGUAAAUUCAGAUUAGGCAAAAUUGAGGGCAUUUAUUAUUCCACGAUUUUAUGAAAUGUUUUGAAUUAUUGAUUAUUGUAGCUCUUUUUUGAAAAACUAAUUAUAGUAGUAUGACUUAUAAUACUUGGUAUUUGGGUCAAAACAUGUGAUUUUAAAAAAAAAAUUGAAAAAAUCAAUAUUUGUCUGAAUUCACAAAAAAAAUUCGAGGCACCAAUUCCAUGGCACUAAUGUCACAUCUGCAUGAAAUUAUACAAAAAAUAAAUAGUUUGAUUCUUACACGUGAUCAAAUUACCGCCACAUAAAAUGUAACGAAGGGAAUAACAUUGUUAUACUUUACCUCUCUAUUGCAUUUGUGAAAAGCUCAAGUUCAUCAAAUGUUGCAUAAGCAUCAAAUGUAUCAUCAACAAUGCUAAUGAUGGCAAUUAUUUUUCCUGUCAUUAUUCUUGCACGACUCUGUUGAGGCUCAAAAUGCAAUCCAACUGCUCCAAAAUAACACUCCACCAAUCUGUCUCUUGCAUAUGAAAAUUUAUUUGCAACAUCGAUAUUUUUCCACCAUCUAUAGUAUAAAAUAUCAAAUAUAUAUUAAUUAGGGAUUAGUUACGUAAGAACCAUAAUUAUGAGAUUGAAGAGGGUAUAAGAGUACUAAUCUUUACCUUGUAAGUUCGCUAAGCUCUCUUUGGUACACCUUUUGCAAAAUAUUGAAAUCCAAUUUCGCAAAUUUCAAAAGUAAAUUGUUACGUGAUUCAUCGUUCUCAUACAUAUAUAUGUUUUUCCUUGCUAACAAUCUUGGUAGAUUUGUAUGAAUGGGCUGGUUUAAGGCUUCACUAACUUGGGCCUUGACUGAGUUGCCCAAUUUAGGGGCCAUGGACUCCAGAUGAGUGACGGUAAAAGUUAGAGCUUCUUCAAGAAUUUCCUCUCCGUGUACUCUUAGAUGUGUUGCUUCGUAUAGACUUAAUAAUCCUUGCACAUCUUUAGUAAGAGUUUCCUUGAAUAUUCCGUCAUGAUUGGUGAAUUUUUUGAAGACAUCUGAUUUCACAUCAUAAUAUAAUUAUAUCAAAGAAAUUAAUAAAGAGCCACACAAAAUAGGAAUAAAUUAGUUACCAGAAGACAUGUAAUGUCUUUGUUGUCUCACUAGUCGAAAUUGAAGAGCAACAACGUAUAGAUCGUCAUCAUUUUUUAGACUCUUCAAAAAUGUUCUGAAUGGAUGUUUCGAUGUCAUUUUUGAAAUGAUAUGCCACUCCCAAUCGUUGGAUUGUGUCAAUCAAAACAAGUUUUUGUGUACUAUUAUUAGGUGACUCAACUAACAUUUGCCUUACUUUUUCUUUCAACUCUUCAUGUUCAUGUUUUUCUUUGCUACUAAUUUCCUGCACCAAAUGUUAAGUGUUAUUAUUUGACAUAGAGUAAUACCUCCAUUAUAUAAUUUAAUCAUAGGGAUUAGGGAAAAUAAUUAUUGCCUGUUUAUGCAACAUUUGAUUGACUGUAUAAGAAAAGGUUUGUAAAUGGAUACACUACCAAUAUAAUUGCCCUAUUAAUUAGGUCAAUUUAGCUAGGCGUUUGGACAUGAAUUAUAUUAAUGUUAUUUGAGAAAUAAUAAUUAGUAUUUGAAGAUGAAGUUUGUUGACACCCAAUUUUGACCUUCCCCGAUAAGAAUNNNNNNNNNNNNNNNNNNNNNNNNNNNNNNNNNNNNNNNNNNNNNNNNNNNNNNNNNNNNNNNNNNNNNNNNNNNNNNNNNNNNNNNNNNNNNNNNNNNNAAUUAGUUUAUAAUUAAGUUAAUUAUUUUAUUUCAUUGAAAUCAAGAAGCUCGUUAAUUAAUUAUAUUUAUUCAUCCUAUCUAAGUUUUAGCCAAAUUCACUAGUGAAAUACAUUGAUCAAAUCAAUAGUUCAUGUGGUUAUAUUAAAUGACCAAAACGUGGGCCUCUUUUACAAGUUCAGCAGCCCAUCUCUUUUUCCAAUUCCUUUUCACCUUUCCAAACCAAUUGGAAAUUCCCCACAACCCAGGCCCAUCCUCUGUUUCAGCCACAACUCCAGCAAAUCCCAUAUGUUACAACACCAAUGGCCCCAACGAUCCAGCCCAAUUCCCAUCCGACCCGGUCCACCAAUACACAAAAAUAACCCCAACAUUACAAUACCCACCAAACACACAAUACGUAUAGCAACACCCAAAACAGUACCCUGUGUUUUUCCCCAUUCCAGACGCGACAAAAGUCGAAACCCAGCGAUUCCAGCUCUAUUUUCAGCAAAGGGUCGUCCUUGCAGUUGUGAGAUGAGGCCACGUCGAGCUCCAAGGACGAUGGGAAUCGAUCCAGCCGUCCAUCCUCCAUUCCUUUUCCGGAAUGAAGUUGAAAUUUCAGAAAAAAGCUUGUUUUCCCCUUAAUGGUGUAAGUUUUUUUUGAGGAUUUGAAUUUCAAAUUGGGCCCUUCUAUCCGGAUUUUCAUCCGUUUUCCCCCCAUUUUUCGGAAUCAUAUUCUCCCUUCUAUAUAAUUGUUUUUGUUCACUGUGGGAAGGGGAGGAUUUUUUUUGGGAAAAAAAAUAUAGAAAGUUAGCCGAGCUUUACUCACAAAGGCAUAGUUUACAGGAGGUUUUGAGGAACACUCGAUUUUACGUUUUGAUAAAUUAUUGGAAAAACUUUCUAGUUCAAGGUUCUGGGAAGAUAGUUAUUCGGGUUUCAUUUAGUUUCUCUUGGUGUGCUGUUGGAACUCUUGAAGUUUUGUGUGUGGUGGUGGAAGCUCUCACGGCUAGCCUCGUCCCGUCCCCGUUCGCUGCUCGGAAAAGGUAAUAUCUCUUUUCUUCCGCGUCUUGUUUAGACUUUGGAUAAACCUGUUUCUGUGGAGUUCUUUUUUUUUGGGGUUUCAUUUUGUUCUAAUCUUAUUUUGAUUAGAAUACUCAUGGAUGAAAACUUGUUUAGUUUGAAUACAAGUGUUUAAAUUACUCCCGAAUAUGUCAUGCUUACGUUCUUGAGCGAUCCCUUUUUUAAAAACAUUUUUUCUGUAUCUAAUGCUAGUAUUGAUUCAAAAUGUUGCUGAUUCGUAUUCAAUGUUGUUGUUUCCCCUGCUUGCUCUAGUUUUUGCUUUUGCUUAUUCCUCUUAUCAAAUCCUCUGCUUGAAUCUCGUCGAACCCACUUUUCUCCACCCCUGCCCAUUUUAAAUUUAUCUUCACUUGUCUAUUUUUUUUUUAGCAUGAUUUGAUUUAUGUUUUCUGUCGAAGUUAAUAUCCUAAAUGAUCUCUCAACUUAGAUAUUUAUGUCAAUAAAAUCACUCAACAAAUUUAUCAUCAUUAAGAGAAAUCUGAAAUGACAAAAUAAUUUACUUUUUUUAUAGCAUGUAAAUAUGAAUUUCACAAAUAAAUAAAUUUUUAAAACCCAUUAAAACUUUUGACGGAUAUACUUUUUUUUACUAAGUAGGCGUUACUUAAAGGCGCAUAAUGUUGCUGCCAAUUUGAUUAAACUAUUAUAAAAAAUGGAAAGAUGUCUUUUAAUGAUAUAAUUUCCUAAUUGGAUUAAAUUAUUAUAAAAUAAAAAGAUGUCUUUUAAUGAUAUAAUUUCCUUUUUUUUAUGUUGAUAGAUUUGAACGGGUUAUUUCAAUAAAACGACGACACUAAUUAAUUGUUUAUCUAAUUUAUAAGCAUAUUUUAUUAAUACCAAAAAAAAUAAUAAUAAGUUUAAAGUGUAUGCGGUACUUCAUUUUAUUUUAUUUUCAUACACCUAUCAUAAUUAUUGCAAAGGUUAAAUACAUAAUAAUAUUACAAUACCCAGUUUACUAAUUAAGUUUGUUCUGCAUUGUUUAAGCAUGAGUAUCUUUCUCUAUAAUUUUGCUCUUUUAAUAACUUUUAAAGUUGCUUGUCACUUGCCUCUCCUUCAAAUUACUACUAUGUAUUAAGCUUUGGGCCACAAUAUUGAAAUGGUUACCAUAGAUAUAGCAGUAGCCUUAAUUUUCGGCAGUUGGGAUCUUAUACGUUGGAAAUCUGGCAUUCAAUUAUCAAAUGCCAUUGUGACUUACAUGUCUUCUAUCAACUUGUUUCUUUUUUUUGUAAGCUCGGACAAGUCUUUUCUUUUGGAUCUAAAAUUAUUAGUGUUUAACGUCAUGGAAUUAAUGUUAACAACUUAGUUUCCCCACUUCUCAAAUCUUUCAUUGCCUGACUGUUUAGCAUGAUGCGUCUUGAUCAAGUAUUUACUUCUUCUUCUUUUUCUAGCUAAGGAUCGCGUUUAGUGUAGUGUGACAUUGUUAGCUAAGCUACUGCCAGUUGUUUGCUAUAUUGAUAAGUCGUGCUCCUUUUUGAUACAUUCAUUAUUUAGUGAUUGGUUCAGAUAUAUUAUUGCGGGUUACUAAUUCUCAUUUUUGUGUUUGCAUGUGAAAUCUAUCCGGGUCCUCUGGAUCCCCUCCUUGUAUUCCUCUUUGGGCCAUGGAGGCCCAAUUCUAUUUUUAUCCGAGCCAGCCUAUUAAAAAAUUGACGAACAGGUCCCAAAGUUGAAAGAUGCCAUAUAUCGAGAAAUUGAAAGUUUGGGUUUUAAAAGGCCCACUCCUCUUUAAGAAUUGUAUUUUGUUAUUAUUGGGCCUAAGCCCUCGCCAUUUUACUUACUAUUACUUGUUAGUUCUUAGAACAGGUGAAAAUUGGGCCAAAGGCCCAAAAUGAAAAUGGGCCCAAAUACUGGCCCAGGCGGACAGAAAAAACCAGAUUUGGGCCCAAAUCUCUUUCCCUCCUUUAUUUGUUGUGUUUAUUUACUCGUCACUAUCUGCUAUUAGUCUUAAGGGUUUUAAAAUUUUCAAAUCCCCAAAAGACACCCAUUUUGAAUUAAUUACUUAACCAAUUAUUCGUCUUUACUUGACUUAAAUAAUAAAUAAAUAAUUUCACAAAAAUUUUUCACUUAGAUAAUAUUUCAAUAUUUCCCCCCUUUCCCCUUUAAAAAUAAUUCUAACUAUAAAAUAGUUCAAAUUUUUGCAAUUUAAGUUAAAGUCAAAAUUAUUUUAGCCAAAUAAAUUGAUUGUUGGAUAACCGCAUUAGCGGAUAUUCUAGGUGCCUUAAAAACCUUCCUAGAAUAUUAAUAGGAACCUCGAACCCCUCUUUAAAUAGUUUUCAAUAGAUUUACUGUUUUAGUCUUUUGAAAACAAUAGUUUUCUUGAUUUUUCUUAAAAAUUAAGUGGCGACUCUUAAACAAGUCCAAAAUAAUAUUUUCCUAAUAAAACAAAGUUGAAAAAUAGUUUGAAGUUAAAGUUGUAUUUGAACAUGCGUAUUUCAAAACAAGUGUUGUGAAUCCCGAAGAGAAUUGGUUUGUGAAAAACUCAUAUUAAAAAAUUAGCCAAAAAAUCGUACUUAUAAUAUGCAACUAAACACUACUCUGAAAAUAUUUUUAGAAAAAAAAGUAAUAGAUUGCCCCCGGCCUAGAGUUGUUCGAAAAAGUCACUUACACAUUGAAACUUUGGGGACAAUCUAUUACUCCCUUUAUUUUGAUUAAAAUGAAAUCAAUAUCCCUCAAAGUUCAGAUAGUCAACCAAUUGAAUUACUAUCCAUUUGUCCAGAACUUUCACCUAGUUUGACUACCUAAACAUUCAUACGAUUGGUGAGGGUUUGAACCUUUUUUUUUUUUUUAACAGCAAUGAAGAUUCUAUUUCAAAGCAAAAGGUUACAGAGGAGGACCAAACCUUACCUCAUGCAAGAGUAGCUAAAUAAAGCAAUUUUAGCUUCCAAAAAUAAAGCAAAAGAGGAAGAUCACAAAUAUAAAGCAUGCAACCACCAACGGAUGUGGUGAAGCAGAUAAGAUUGCUCCUUCCUUAACCAAAGAUCUCGGGUUUGAGUCUGGGUAUGAAAAAAUUGAACGUUUUUUCCCGAACGGAGUCCUACUCAGCACGAAUCCAAAAUAGUCAGACUCUAAUAAUGAGUGUGAAAGCAUUAGUUAAUUGUCAUUGCAUUCAAUGUUGUUAUAGGCUUGAAGGAAAUUUACAAAGAGUAUUAUUUACCUGUUGAAACACAUAUUUAGCAGCAAUCAAGCUAUAUCGUUAAUUAAUUACAUAAAUAUCCUCUCUUUUUUAAAUUUCAUACUUAAACUAUCACUCACUAAGGAGAAAAAAUGGGUUCCAAAAGCAUUUCUGAUUCUUGGCCUUUUUAUGGCCAUAUUUGUAAUGAAAAGCUCUGAUGUUUUAGGGAGUUGGCUAAGACUUCCACCACUUUCGAAGAGGACUGUAAAAUUAUUUUGAUCUUUCUAAUUAGUGGUUCACUAAAUUAAGUACUUAAUGUUCCUUGCCUCUAUAGGUGAUGAGGCAAUGGACAAAGAGCCACACAAUAGAUUAAGGAUAAUGCUAAAUGGCCAGAAAAUUUGGUCAGAAUUUGGUCAGAAUUUAAAAAGUCUAUAAUAUCCUUUUUACUUUAAAAUAAACUAAUCUUUUUUCCAUUUUUUAAUUAAAAGAUAUUAAAGUUAAAAGGGUAAAAAUGCUCAAAAAGAUAAAAUAACAUAGUGUGAACUAUGUUAUUUUAUCAUUCUGCAAUUUUCUGGCCAAAAAGAUUUUUCCAUAGAUUAUUUAUGUGGAUUGUGGAGCAAUAUAUUAAAACUAGAUAUGGACCUCGUGUUAGCACAGGGCCCAACAUAUAUUACGUUAAUCAAUUUCUUAACAUGUUUUUAUAUAUUAGAGUUAACCAAGGUUUUAUAUAUAUUUACAAAUAUAUAGAGAGAGAUUUUUUGAGUUGCUAAUUACUGUGAUUUAUGGUAUCUUUUUUACGUAAUUUUCACAUAAUAUAUAUUUCUCUUUUUGUGUUGAUUUAUGUGAUAUAAAUGAAAUUUCAAAAGUCAAUCAAUUUUUUUAUAAAUUCUUUUUGAUAUUUAAGUUAUUAAUUAUUGUGAUUUACAAUAUAUUUUAUGUAUUUUAUAUAAUAUAUCUCUCUCUUUAUCCCAAUUUAUGUGUAUAGAUGAAAUUUUGAGAGUUAACAAAAUAUUUUUAUAUCUUUUCAAAUAUUUUGAAGCUAUUAAUUAUUAUGAUUUAUACUACUUCUUACAUAAUUUUUUAAUAUAUAUAAAGUGAUAAAAGACAAAUUUUAAAAAAAGAAAACUUUAAGUUGCCAAACUACCCCUUGCUACAAGCAGGCAUGUUGAUGAAGAGUUGCCAGCUUGUAGCCUCAUCUAUAGUAUAGUAAUAAUAAUAUAUAUACAAGAUACGAGAUCCGUGCCAGCAUGGCCCAAUAUAUAUUAUUUUUAUUUUUAUUUAUGUGACACGGAUGAAACUUGAGAAGUUAUUCAAAAUUUUAUAUGAUUUUUAAAAAUAUUUUAAGUUAUUAAUUACUGUGAUUUAUAGUUUUUUUAAGCGAUUUUGAGGUAAUAUAUAUUAUUUCGUUUUUCCAAUUUAUGCGGCAUAGAUAUAAUUUCAAAACUUAAUUAUUUUUAUGUCUUUUAAAUUGUUAAUUAUUGUAAUUUGCAGUACCUUUUACGUAAUUUUUAAAUAAUUUUUGUUACUUCUCAUGUCCCAAUUUAUGUGGUAUUGAUAUAAUUUCGAGAGUUAGCCAAUUUAGUUUUUGUCUUUUAAAUUUUUAAGUUGUUAAUUAUUGUGAUUUAUAAUACUUUUAACGUCAUUGUCAAAUAAUAUAUGUCAUUUCCUCUAACCCAUUUUUUGUGUCACUCGUAGAAUUUUGAGAGUCAAUUGAUUUUUUUAUAUGACUUUUAAAUAUUUUAACUUAUUAAUAAUUGUGAUUUUGUCACGCCCCAAACCUGUACCCCGGAUGUGGCUGACACUCGAGAACCAUUGUUGGCCCCAAGCGAACCCUUGGUCUGGCUUACUUACUCAGUGAAAGACUUUAAGCAUUAUUAUAAUGAUCAAAUGCACUUCUACUCAUUGUUUAAUAAAAUAACUUAGAGCGUUUGAAGGUCAAACAUUCAACUUGGCCAAAAUGGCAACUCCAGUCUUAACAUAUGAAAUAAUAAUGUAAAUACAACUGAACUACUGAUUGUCUAUGAAGCCUCUAAAACAAGAAGGGAUGUCGGGACAAGACCCUCAAUCAUCCUAGCAAAUGAAAUACUAAAAGCAAAUGAUAAAAAGGAGCCCUCCGGAAAGCAAAGAGGCUCACCAACUGACUCUGAAUGCUUAACUGGAUCAACGAGGUGCUGGAUGAUGAUCUUGGUUACCUGUGUCUACAUCAUAAUAAGAUGCAGGCUAAAUGACAUCAGUACAUUGAAUGUACGAGUAUGCGAGGGGAAUUCUAAAACAAGACAUAAGCUUGAAAGAAACUGAGAACUUACCUGGCUCAACUCAACUCAACUUAAUUAACUGAACUCAUUUCAAUAUAAAGCAAUAUAAAACAAGUGCAAUAUAAAGAAAAGCUAUUUAAAACAUGUAUGUCAACUCUGUGUAUUUGGAAAUACAAAAAUACUCUGUAUGUAAGCAAAGAUACACAUAGCUCUGAAAUGUAUGUAAAAUACAAAUAAACUGUGUAUAUAAGAAUACAAUUAAUUAUGUGGAAGUUUCUCUAACUGACAACCAUCACUUAAGAGCUAUAGUGAUGAUACANNNNNNNNNNNNNNNNNNNNNNNNNNNNNNNNNNNNNNNNNNNNNNNNNNNNNNNNNNNNNNNNNNNNNNNNNNNNNNNNNNNNNNNNNNNNNNNNNNNNNNNNNNNNNNNNNNNNNNNNNNNNNNNNNNNNNNNNNNNNNNNNNNNNNNNNNNNNNNNNNNNNNNNNNNNNNNNNNNNNNNNNNNNNNNNNNNNNNNNNNNNNNNNNNNNNNNNNNNNNNNNNNNNNNNNNNNNNNNNNNNNNNNNNNNNNNNNNNNNNNNNNNNNNNNNNNNNNNNNNNNNNNNNNNNNNNNNNNNNNNNNNNNNNNNNNNNNNNNNNNNNNNNNNNNNNNNNNNNNNNNNNNNNNNNNNNNNNNNNAUUUACUCUUUACUGAAAACUAGCUCAAAGGCUCUUUUGGAAAUCUCAGUUUCCUUUCUUAUUUAACAUGUGAAAACAUUUUAACUAUUUGGGAAUACAUAGUCCCCAUAUACUUUGAAGAAAUGAACUUCAACUUUACUCUUUACUCAACUCAAAACUCAAGUCUUAAAACAAAGUUAAAUCAUUUGUAAAAGACUUUUAGAAGACUCUAUGAACUUCUCUUGACUUGGCUCUUAACUUAUCUUGACUUGACGCUUAACUGAUCCUUGAAUUGAAUUAUGGAUUCAAGGAUUGAGAUUUGUGAUAGGAAAGAUCUCAUGAUGUUUAGGAGUGUUUUUAGAUAGUUAAACAUGAGAAAUGAUCAGGAAAUCACUGUCUGGAAGCAAGUCCGCGACGCGGAGAUGCAUUUAAUUAUUUGGUCGUGAAAUAAAUUUUGAGGCAGAACGGUCCGUGACCGCUCCGCUCCGCGAAGAAAAAUUGUCAAUUCUGAGGAACAAGUCCACGACGCGGACCUGGUACCUAGAUUCUGCCGACUUGUUCCUUCUUCGUUUUCUAACCCCAAAUCACCUAAAUUCGAUUCUUUUUCUCCUAUUCUCUUUAGAUUCAGAUACCCAACAUAUGUACACAAGAAUCUAAUCAAACACAACUCUAAAAUCAACCUUAAAGUCUAAAGAACUCCACAAUCUCAUCCCAAAUUCAAGAAUGAAAGUAAAUUCAAGAACAUUCGAACUUUCAACUUUUAAGAUGAAUUCAUGCUGAAUUAAACAUGUUUGGCGCGUGAGUGAACGAAUCCAACGCUGUGUGAACUCACAUACCUCGUAGGGAUCACCCCUUGACGAAAUCCACAAGUGAUUCCUUACGAAGACGACGAAUCUUGAACUUUCUUCUCCUUCUCCUCUUUUCUCUUUUCUCCAAGCCCUAGCGCGAACUUCAACUUUUCUAAACUAACUAAAAUCUUAUUUGAUCCCAAUUAAUUACCCAAAAACGAAAUAAAGUAAUUGGGUAAGGAAAAGACCAUAUUGCCCUUCAAAAAUUCGGAUUAGACUUUCCUAAAUUGAACAGCUCAACUUCAAAUGGGAAUAUCUCACUCAUACGAACUCGGAACCGCCCAAACUCGGCGGAGUUGGAAAGAUUAUUCCAAGAUCUUUCCUACAACAUCUGGAAACACACCUAACUCAUCCUGAGCUAUAAGUUAUGGUCGUUUGAAGUUGACCAAAAAUCCAACUUAACAUACCUAACAAAUUUUCCAGAUUUUUAUAUUCUUUCCAAAAAUGACUAUUUCACUUAUUAACUUCUAUCUAGUUCUUUCUAGUUACGGAGAGUUACAGAUUUAAAGUAUUAUUAGUGUAAUUUUCAAAUAUAUAACAGGUUAAAAAAAGAGUAAGACAAAAUUAAAAGGAAAAAAGUGCAGAAUUAAUGGUCAAAUUAAUAUGACGCAAAUGAAAUUUGAAGAGUCGGUCAAGUAUUGUAUAUAUUUUUUUUUUAAAAUUAAGUUAUUAAUUAUUGUGACUAAUAAUACUUUUAACAUCAUUUUUAUAAAUAAUAUAUGUUCCUUCUUUUAUCCUAAUUUAUGUGGCACAAUAGAAUUUAGAGAGUCAAGCAUUUUUUAUAUAAUUUUUCAAUAUUUGAACUUUUGUAAUGGCAAUUAUGAUAUAUAGUAACGCUCCAUGCUAUUUGGGGCGUACAUAUCAGUUUGAUUUAGUUUUCUAUUAAACUAAAUCUAAAUUAGUCAUGUCAAUUUAUUAAAUUUUAAAAUCAAAUAAAAUCACAUAAAGUCAGGUUUUUAAUUUUGGUUUUAGUUGGUUUUUUCAAUUUUUUUCAAUUAUAUGGUGAUUGAAAAAGAGAUUAAAUAUACUUUCACUUAUCGGUGUGAUAAGCUAAACUUUAAAAACGUUAAAUGAAUAGAAAUCUUCAAAAAGGCGGUAAAAUUGAUAUGAGUACAAAAUAAUUCUGUUGAAAUCAUUAUGUUAAAUUUAUAUGAUUAAAGGUUCCAGUCACACUGGAUACAAAACAAAAUAUUUACAGAGUAGAUAGUUAACUUCGAAUUUAAAAAACUAUAUUGUAACUUCCGAUUUGAAUAUAAAAUAAAAUAUUUAUAAAAGUUUACAAGUCCAAAUUUAAAAUAAUAUAUCUAAACAUUGAAAACUAUAAAUUAAUAAAAAAUAUAUUAACAAAAUAGAUUAUAACUAAUUAUUUUUAUCUAUAAAUUAAAAAUAAAAUAAUAUAUAUUAUGUCGGUCUGGUUUGGAUUUGGUUUGAUUUUUUUUCUUUUAAGAUAUUUCAGUUCGAAAAAAAAUUUGAUGACUAGAUCACUGAUCUAAUUUCUUUAAUCACGAGUAAUUGAGCUUUAGUUGAUUUUUUUUUCUUUAUCUACUAAAAUAUUUCAGUUGCUAAAAUUGAUGACUAGGUCACUAAUCUAAUUUCAUAAUCACGAGUCUAUUAUUAUUAACGGAUUUCUAGUUGAUUUUUUCUCUAUAACUACUAAGAUAUUUCAAUUCGCUAUUGAUCUAUUUCUUCAAUCACAAGUCUAUUAUUUACUGGAAUAAUCUAGAAUAUCUCCAACACACAAGGGUAGGUCUUUGGACUGAAUUUGUUGCUAUCCUUGAUAUAUGGAAAACAUCUACAUCCAAACACUUUUAAGCUAUUGUAAUCAGGUUGUUCCCCAUACAACUUAACAAAUGGAGUCACCAUCUUUAGGACUGAGGAGGGCAGUCUAUUGAUGAGAAAUACUGCAGUGAGGAAAGCCUCAACCCAAAGAAACAAAGGUAGAUUAGCAUGAAGUAGUAGAGUUAAGCCAGUCUCCACAAUAUGCCUAUGUUUUUUCUCUGCAACUCCAUUUUUUUCAGGUGUGUUAGGACAGGAAAUAUGUCUCACGAUGCCACAAUCUUCCAAAUGCUUAAUGAAGUCUGUUUGGAUAAACUCACCAUUUCCAUCACACUAAAAAAUCUUAAUUUCUUUAGAAAAUUAUUUUUCCACCAUUUUCUGAAAUUUUAUAAAGACCUCAAAGAAUUCAGAUUUCUUUUUCAGUGGAUAAAUCCAUGUAUAUCUCGUGUGAUCAUCAACAAAAACAACAUAAUAUUUCAUAUGUUGGGAAGAUUCGACAGGAGCAGGUCCCUAUAAAUCACAAUGUAUUUUCAAUAAAGGUUCUUUAUCAAUUUUAUUUCUCAAACCAAAUGAAAGUUUACAACUCUUUCCCAACUGACAACUGAAACAAACAGUAGGCAUUUUAUUUCAACUACUAAUAUUGAUGCAACUAUUACUAUUCAAAACUUUCAAAGACUUCAAACUAGGAUGUCCUAAUCUAGUAUGCCACAUGUUAUCUGACGUGUUUCAAUCAUGUGCAGCAGUCAAAGCAUAGUGAUUGUUAUCUUCCAAAGCAUAGAGUCCAUUCCUUUUAGUUCCCUUGGCCAGCAGUGUCCUUGUCUUCUUAUCCUUUACAACAAAGUUAUUUUCAUCAAAUUCAAGAGUGCAACAAUUAUCCUUUGCAAGCUUACUAAUUGAGAGUAAAUUUUUAUUAAUCUUAGGGCCUAUAAGAACUUCUUUUAACUUUAGACCUGAUCCGGAUAUGUUUCCAACAUGUGUUAUAACUAACUUUGAUCCAUUCCCAAUAAUGAUUUUAUCUGUUCCAUUGUAGUGUUUAAGAUCAGUUAGGAUACCUGAGUUAUGUGUCAUAUGGCUACUUGCUCCUGAGUCCACAUACAAUGUGUCAUCAGUAGUGUUUUGUAGAUUAGUAGCAGUCAAUGCUUGUGAUAGCUCAUCUGCGGCUUGGUAAGAGUAAUCUCACCUGUAAAAACACUUAAGAGCAGUAUGGUUAUUCCUACCACAGAUUUGACAUGCAUCAGUACUGUUCCUCUUAUGACUUCCACUUGAAGAAUUGUUCUGAGGACCUGAUCCGUUUCAGUUGUUAUAAGAACCUGUUCCUUGGCCAGCAGGCUUAAAGUCUCUUCCUCUAGAAUUGAAAUUAUUGUUUCCUCUUCUUUGAGAGUAGUUUCCUCUUCCCCUGCCUCUUUGGGCAGAGAAUGUCAUGUUAUGAUUUUGCAUCCUCCCUCAUAUCAAAACCCCUUAGAGCAUUAACAAAUUGAUUAAGAGUAGGAUAUGGUGUCUUACCUAGCAUGACAGUCCUGAAGGUCUUGUACUUAAGACCUAGACCUCUAGCAAAAUUAAUCACUUUGCUAUCUUCAUCUACAGGCUUGUGAAUGGCUGCAAGGCCAUCGCAUAUGCCUUUGAAUUCCUUAAUCUAAGGUGAGAACAUUUUUCUUAUUGGUUUCAUGUAUAUGAGUGUCUAUGGAAAUUCUUUGUGGGACUGAAAAUGUCAUUGUCUCUUCCUUCUAUAUGCCAAAAUAGUGAAUUUUGAAGUUUUAUUCAGUAAAUUCAAUGAUCGAAAGUUCUGUAAUGCCAGUCAUUCUAACUAUUUUUUUGUUUGAAUGGAUUGUUGUCACUUUUUUCACGUUUUUGAAUGAAUUGUUUCUUUUAUUUUUAUAUAUGGUUAAUAACCGAAAAACCGAACCAAACCGAACCAAAACCGAAAACAACCAAACCGAUAAAUGUAUAUUAUAUUUGGUUUGGUUUGGUUUUGAUAAUUUUAAAACCGAUUAAGUUGGUUUGGUUUUGGUUUUGACUAGUAACCGACCCAAACCAAACCGUGAACACCCCUAAUUGUAGCUCAUUUUAAAAAUAAUAAUAAUAAUAAUAAUAAUAAUAAUAAAAAAUAUGAUAUAAUAAUAAUAAUAAUAAUAAUAAUAAUAAUAAUAUUCUGGCUUACAACACUUGGUAUUAAUUGGUCAAAGUAUGUGAUUUUAAUUUUUGUUUUGGAAAAAUCAGUAUAUGUCUGAAUUUACCAAAUUGAGGUAUUUAAACGUACAUUCUCAAAUUGAAGUGUUUAUUUGUUAUCUAACUAAGGCCAAACUUAAAUGUUUGUUUCAAUAUUACUUAGAACACCUUAUGAGUCCAAAUCUUUAUCAAAUGCAAACUCUCUUUGUUCCCAAAAAUCGUAUGCUAACGUAAUUAAAAUUAUUGAAAUCAUAAAAGAAUUAAAACAAACAGCAUUAACAUUAUUCACCCAUAUAUAAUUAAAUAGAGGUAUAUCCAAUUAUUUUUAUAUAUGUACUCGAUACCGAACCACUGUUUACUUAACAUUUAUCCUCGAACAUCACAUUGACAGGUUCAAUAAACAACAAGGUAAUCAUAUCCUUAAAUUCGCUUCGGGUAUUUAUAAAAUCGCCCUCUUUGAAAAUAUAUGCCAAGCGUGCAAAAUUUAUAACUUGUUCGAGGACAAAUAUUGGUACUUCAGAAGGGCUGAGGAAUUCCUCGUUCAUGUCUUUCCAUGCAUUAGCGAGUUUCUGCAUUAGCGAGUUUCUUUUGAGCCUCAACAUAUGCUUCUUGCUUUGAAACUCCGUGUUCUUUCAUGUAGCAUUCAAUGAAUGAAGCUACAUGGCUUCUUUGUUGUUCGAACUGCAUGCAUAAAAAUAGAUUUCAAUAUGUUGGAGUUGGAUUACGGGUCGUCCAUGUGGGCUAACUCGAUCCUAUUCAGAAAAUAUAAAUUAAAAGGAACAGAAAAGAAACAUGUCUAUAGUGGUAAACCUAAUUGUUUAUUAUAAAUUUUAGCAAUUUUCAUCGAGACACAUAGCUAUUUAUUUAGAAUUGGUGUUCAACACUUACAUCAUUUGUAUUAAUAUCGUCCUUUAAUCUGCCGAUUACUGAUGAAGCUCGAAGAAUCAAAGGCUCAUUUAUUACCCAUUCAAAUGUCUCUUUGGUAAUAUUUUCCUCCAUAACACACAAGAAAGUUGUUGCAGCCAUCAUAACCGUAGUACUUACAAUUGCAAUUUUCAUGUACUCCUCACAUUUUGGAAUAUAGACAUCAUUUAACCAUAGUGCUUCCUUGAGAUAUGCUCUAGCUACUUUCUUCAUCUAAUAUAGGAGUUAAAAGAAAACUUAGAAUCAGAUAAUGUUAAAGACAUAAUCAAGUAAAUAAAAAUGUGUUCUCUUUUUUUAAAAAAAAAUUGAACUUUUGAACGACAUAGUCACACGAUAUAAUUCUCAUGGCAUCAUAGUUGAGACAAAAUCUUUACAUACUUGGCACAUUAAACAAGAACCAAUUUCUCAUGUAAGGAGCGUAUUGAAGGCAUAAUAAUAAAUGGCAAUGUUAAUGUUUGAUUUAAAAGAAAUAAAGCUAAGGGAGCUUACCUCUUGUUUUGCAUAGUAGAGACAUUCCAAUUUACUUUCUUUGGUCAAUUCUUCUUCUAUUUCAUCAUAACGGUCUAGAAGAGUUCGAUAAACAGGUCUCAAAUUGGGUGAUACUAAAUUAAUGGCACUUAUGUCAUCACAUCUGCAUGUUAAGAGUUUGGAUCGAAGUUACAAACUAAAAUUUCUUAUUUAUACAAAUCAUCUCAUAAUAGUAACAUGUCCUUGACACAUUUUAUUUUCCUACUCAUUUGAACGCGUGAGAAAAUCAUUAGUGUAUAGUUUAAUUACCUAUCGAUUGCAUUUGUGAAAGCCACAAGUUCAUCAUAGGUUGCAUAAGUAUCAUAUGUGUCAUCAAUAAUGACGUAUGUCGUGAAUAAUUUUGUCAUCAUUUUUCUUGCACGACUAUGUUGAACUUCAAAGUACACACCAGCUACCCAAAAGUAACACUCCACCAUUCUAUCUCUAGCAUAUGGAAAUUGCUUCGCGAAAUCUUGAUUUUUUCACCACCUAUAUGGUCAAAGAUGGAGUUAGAAUUGUCAUUAAGAAUGUUCAAAAUAUAAAAAUCGAAGUAAACUUACAAAAAAAAUCAAUAGUAUACAUCAUUUACUAUAUAUACAUAAAUGACAAGGAAAGAGUAAUGUAUGUACCUUGUAAGCUCGCAAAGCUCUCCUUGAUGCAACUUUUGUAGAAUAUUAAAAUCCAAUUUUGCAAAUCUCAAAAGCAAAUCACUAUGAGAUUCAAUGUUCUCAUAAAUACAUAUGUAUUUCCUUGCUAACAACCUUGGUAAAUUUGUAUGAAUGGGCUGGCUUAAGGCUUCACUAACUUGGGCCUUGAGUAAGUUGCUCAAUUUUGGGACCAUGGACUCUAGAUGAGUGAUGGUAAAAAUUAGAGCUUCUUCAAAAAUCUCUUCCUCGUGUAUUCGUAGAUGUGUUGCUUCAUAUAAACUUAAUAAUCCAUGAACAUCUUUAAUAAGAUUUUCCUUGAACUUUUCGUCAUGGUUAGUGAAUUUCUUAAACACAUCUGAUUAAUUAUAUUGAACAUCAUAAGAGAAUUAACUAAAGAAUCGUAUACAAUGUUGGAAUAUAAUUAAGGUGAGCUCUUUUAGGAUAGAAGAGAAGAAAUAAACUUACCAGAAGACAUGUAAUGUCUUUGUUGUCUCACUAGUCGAAAACGAAGAGCAACGACGUAAAGAUCGUCAUCAUCUUCAUUUUUACUUUGUUUGGAUUCAUCAAAAAUAUUUUGAAUGGAUGUUUUAAUUUCAUUUUUGAAAUGAUAUGCCACUCCUAGUCGUUGGAUUGUAUCAAUCAAGACAAGUUUUUGUGUAGUAUUAUCUGGUGUUUCAACUAACAUUUUCUUGACUUUUUCUUUCAACUCUUCAAAUUCAAUUUUUUCUUGGGUACUAAUUUUCUGCACCAAGAAUUAAGCCUUAAUACAAAACAAAAACAAUACUAAAAUGAAGGUGUCAUGUGUGAUUGGUCGAAAUGCUUUAAAAAAAAUCUAUACAAAAAUAAGUUUCUUAAAGAUAAGUAAAAUGAAUAAAGGGGCGAGAGAAACAUGAUCUAUAUAGUGUUUGUCUAAAUUAUAUAUAAAUAUUUUUGAGAUAAUAUAUUUUGUAUACUUAUCAAAUAGAGUUAAUGGUCAAAAAACUAUACAUAAAAUAUCAUAUUUUGCGAGUUUUCUACCUAAACUAUCAAGUGUUCACAUUUUCUACCUGAACUACAUCAACUAUUUAUCAAAAUAUACCUCAAGUUCAAUUAUCAAUUGUUCCUUUUUUUCUACAUGAAAUAUAACUAUCGUUCAGGUAGGAAAAGAGAAUAACUGAUAGUUGAUGUGUGUUUCGAUAAACUUUUGGUGAUAGUUCAAAUAGGAAACUCGCACAACUGAGAGUACAAGUAUGAAACUCGAAAAAUAAAAAACAUGAAUAUAAUAUGAGUAUAUUGUAUGUCAUACCGUGAGUUGAGGAGUGUAAGAGAGGAAAUAAUUUUCCCAAACAGUUGAGUGAAAAUUUGCCAAUGGACGUUUAAUAUUGCCGCUGGAAGAAUCAACCAUUGCUACACUCAUUUUUAAUUUACUCAUAUUUUUCUCUCUUCCUUUUUUUCCCUAAAGGGACAUGUGAAUAUUUAUGUGGUAUUUUGAUUACUUUAGAAUUAGAAUUAUAGGACAGAAAAUUAUUUCCCCAAAAUGUUGGUUGAACAUUUCUCAAAUGACAAGAGAUUGUAGAAACAAUCAUUGUUUUUUUCCUCUCUUUUUAUACAAUUAAUUAAUUAAGCUGUGAAGUAUUUAUAGUAAAGGUGUGAUCACUGCACCAAAAAUAUCUUUACCGGUAUUUAAUUAGCGUGCUGUUAAAUAUGUAUUUUAACGGUAAUUAGCAUUCUUUAAAUGUUUCUAAAUCCUAUAACGAUAUUUGAUCUAAUGACAAUUAAUUAAUAUCAGUAAAAACUUUAACACUAUUUAUUAAUAUAUAUAUUACCGCUAAAAAUUAUUUUUAUUGUAGUGGAUAUCUAUACCUAAAUCCAAGGAAAAUGAAGAACCUGAUCUACGAGUUAUUGGAUAAGAAUUAAAGAAUUCAUUGGGUCUUCUUGGUUUGUGUAAUACACGGUAUAUGUGGAAUUAUCUGGUUUGGUGUUAGUGACACAUUGAAAAUUUAAUGUCAAUAUACAGUCAAUUUUUUUUAUAAUAUUCAUAUUUUAUAUUAAUAUUAUUUCAUUAAAAUGAAGUUUUUUUUUAAUUAAUUUUUUAUAUUUGUCAAUUAUAUAUUUUUGGUUGAAGUGUUAAAAAUAUAUCUAAAUUAUUUUAUUUUAAAAAACUUCAUACUUAAAUUAUUAAACUAGUUUAAAUCGAUACCUAAACUAUCACUCAGGCGGAAAAAUGGGUUCCAAAGCAUUUAUGAUUCUGGGCCUUUUUUUGGCCAUAUAAUUAUGGACAAAUUACAGAAAUCAAAUACUUUUAAGGUAAAAUUACAAUUUAUUCUUCAAAAGUUUAUAAUUACAGAAAUUCCUUAAACGGAUACAAUAAUAUAAGCGCUGAUACAUUAAUUUGAUGCGCGAGGUACAAUAAUAUAAGUGAUGAUACAUUAAUCUGAUGUGUGAGAUACAAUAAUAUAAGCGCUGAUACACUAAUCUGAUGGGCGAAAAUGAGGGAUUUUGGAGAUUUGUAAAACUUAUAGGGGAUAAUGGUAAUAAGUAAACUAAAAUGUGGAAUUUCUAUAAUUUUUCCUAUUAUUUUUUAGUUAGGGAGUUGGCUACUGUAAGAUUGUUUCUCCUUAUAUUCUCUUUUUUUUUAAAUAAAUGAAUACAAUAAAACCUCUCUAAAUUAAUACAGGCGGGACCAUGAAGUAUUAUUAUUUUAUAGAGGUAUUAUUUAAUUGAUAAAUUAAUAUUUAUUAAUUUAAAGAGUGUUUCGUAAAAACUGUUUAGGGAUAAAAUCUCAAAGAAUUUGAAAGAACCCAUUAGUGAAAAUGUCAUUCGUGAACUUGAGGUCAUGAUUAAUGAUCUUGGUUACCACUAGGGGUGUUCAUGGUUUGCAUAAAAACCGAUCCAAACCGAAAAACCAAACCAAACCGAUUAAAUGAACCAAUUUAAUUUGGAUUUUGGUUGGUUUGGUUUUAGAUUGUUAAGAACCGAUAGUAUUUGGUUUGGUUAUGGUUUUGUUCGAAAAAAAUCGAAGAAAUAACCGAACCGAACCAACAAGUUAUAUACAUAAAUUUUAUUAUUAUACAUACAUAAUAUAUUAUAUUCAUAAACAAUUUUAAAGAUUUUAUAUAUGUUUCAUCAAAAUUUAUUUUUAUAAUUUACUUAUGAAAGAAAAAAUGUCCAAGGUGAGAACAUUUUUCUUAUUGGUUUCAUGUAUAUGAGUGUCUAUGAAAAUUCUUUGUGGGACUAAAAAUGUCAUUGUCUCUUCCUUCUAUGCCAAAAUAGUGAAUUUUGAAGUUUUAUUCAGUAAAUUCAAUGAUCAAAAGUUUUGUAAUGCCAGUCAUUCUAACUAUUUUUUUUGUUUGAAUGGAUUGUUGUCACUUUUUUCACGUUUUGAAUGAAUUGUUUUUUUUAUUUUUAUGUAUGGUUAAUAACCGAAUAACCGAACCAAAACAAACCAAAACCGAAAACAACCAAACCGAUAAAUGUAUAUUAUAUUUGGUUUGGUUUGGUUUUGAUAUUUUUAAAACCAAUUAAGUUGGUUUGGUUUUGGUUUUGACCAAUAACCGACCCAAAUCAAACCGUGAACACCCCUAGUUACCACAAUAUAAUGGAUGUUAAUAACCUAUUGGAAGGGUGAAAAUGAUACAUGUUUAGAGGUCCAGAGCUUAGAACGAAUUGUGGAUAUCAUUAGAAACACAAUGUUGAUGAUAAAGUUGAAGAUGAUACGAUACAUUUGGAACCAGUUACGGGUAAUUAAGGAGACACUUGCAUCUAGAACUCUUCACGAUUUUAUGGUGCAAUUAGAAAAGAUAACAUCGAAACUUCUAGAUGCAAUAAGAAAAGUUGGAAAUGAGCUACAACUAGAUUUAAAUUUUAACAAAAAAAACAGAACAUAAUAGAAUCAUAAUUUACUAAAUUUUCUUAGAUAUAUUUGUACUUUUAAAGAAUUAUUAAUUUAUAAUAUUAAUGGGACCAUAUAUUUAUAUAGGGGUUUUCUGAAAAUAUAUUAUCUUAUUAUAUUAUCGAAAUGAAUGAUUUUUUUUCAUUGGCCCAAGUCGGGACCGGAGGAAAUUAUUAUCUUAGAAGAAAGAUUAUUAAUUAAUCGAGAAUUAAUUUAGCAAAGUUUUACUGUAUCUAGUAAAAUUAUUUAAAUCUUUCUAAUUAGCGGUCCACUAAAUUAAGUACUAAAGUUUCAUGCUUCUAUAUUCACUUAUGCUUGCUAUAAUUAGUAACGACUAACAAGUAUGAGUUAAAGCCAUGUUUAGUACUUACGUAUAUAAUAUAGUAGUCACUAUAUAUGAAUCUUCACAUCUUUAUAAAUUGACACUAAUAGUCGUACACCCACUAAUAUAUGAUCAGAGAACCAAAUAGGUUAUUAUUUAAUUAAGUUAGCAGCUAAUUAAAUAUAUUGUUUUAGAUUAAGCACCUAUAUAUAGGAUGCUCUUUUUUUCUUCAAUUUCCUAAUCUGCUCUUGUACGCCAAUAUUAACAUUGACGAUUAGAUCACUUCAUUAAUUUUCUGGUCACGAAUCUAUUAUAUUAUUAUUAUUAACGAAACUCUAGUUGAUUUUUCUUUCUUUAAGAUCAAUUGCUAAAACUGAUGACUAGGUCACUCAUCUAAUUCUAUAUAUAGUCACAAGUCUAUUAUUAUUAUUAUUAUUUUUGUUAAUAAGAUACUUAUAUUAAUAAAUAAUAUGCAUCAAUACAUGGGAAAGACAGUGCUAGACCCCUCCUAGUAUCGUCCAGGGCGGGGGAGUUACAUUGAGUUUAUAACUAUUACAUAAGUUGGAAGUAUUUGGUGACUUCCAUAUCCUACCAAAAUGAGUUCCUCCUUUGUUUGCUUCUAGUUUAUUCGAGACAAAUACCGGUGGAACUUCGUGGUACAAAAAGGAACUAGCUUGCUUCAUCUUGGACCCCUCCCUUGUUAGAGCAUCUGCCACCCGGUACCCAUUCUCCAUUCGAGUCUCUAUUAUUAUUAACAUAUCUUUAGUUGAUAUUUUUUUUGUUCACCACUAAGAUAUUUUAAUUAACUCGCUAUUGAUCUUGCUGCUUUUUGGAGCUUAUUGUAAGAAUUAUUAUUAUGAAAUAAAAGCCAUCAUGUAAUGUUUGUUAAUUAUGCUAUAUGGUAUGAUAAUAUUUUCC